GCCUGCCGCCGUUCUCCUGGCAGCAGGGCGCGCUGGGAAGCACCAGGCAGGAAGUGAAGAAUUUCCGGUUGUCAGCGGAGGGAUGGGGCGUCACCAAGUCUGUGGCAAGCACACCAAGAACCAGCUAAGUCCAAGGCUCACCUGCAUGGCAAAUGGUGAAGAGCCCAGCUCCCACUGAAGGCAUAUGACCCAGAUCCUGAGAACCAGAUGCACCGGCCUGAGCUUUCGUCAGAAGCAAGGACACACAGAACCUUUCUUAGAGGCAUCAUUAGAGGACCGGACAUGGUGGCCAGAGGCUGCAGGGACAGAAGUCCCAGGGCCAUGUCCAGGAACUGGGCUCAGGGGACCUCCUGGUGCCACCUGCAUAUCUGAGCCCAUGGAGUUCCUCUGGUCUAUUCAGUUCUCUCAUUUUAACUUAAUUUUGUUUUUGUAGGCUUUCUUAAAAAAUUGCCCAGUUCAUUUACCUGAUCACGUUUAUUGUUCAGAGUUGAGUGUGGUUCUCUCGUAAUUAUUUAGUCUCCACUGGGUCUGUGAUUAUAUUUCCUUUCUUAUUGCUAAUGCUGUUUGUGUUUGAUUUUCUUCUUUUUUUUCUUGGCCUGACUUAAAGAGGUUUGUCUGUUUUAUCUUUAUUUUAAAAAUAACCAACUGUUUAUUUUUACUUCUCCACUGUGAUUUCCCCCUUUAUUUCUUUAAUGUUUGAGUUUAUAUUUUUUCCUAUUUAUUUUGGCUUAAAUUUUAUUAUCAUUUU
This 748-nucleotide long non-coding RNA is filed under the name Homo sapiens (human). RNAcentral's name for it is "long non-coding RNA NONHSAT155431.1". The record is from RNAcentral. Lineage: Eukaryota; Metazoa; Chordata; Mammalia; Primates; Hominidae.